CCUACGGGUGGCAGCAGUGGGGAAUAUUGGACAAUGGGGGCAACCCUGAUCCAGCCAUGCCGCGUGUGUGAAGAAGGCCCUCGGGUUGUAAAGCACUUUCAGUGAGGAAGAACGCCUGGUGGUUAAUACCCAUCAGGAAAGACAUCACUCACAGAAGAAGCACCGGCUAACUCCGUGCCAGCAGCCGCGGUAAUACGGAGGGUGCGAGCGUUAAUCGGAAUUACUGGGCGUAAAGCGCGCGUAGGUGGCUUGAUAAGCCGGUUGUGAAAGCCCCGGGCUCAACCUGGGAACGGCAUCCGGAACUGUCAAGCUAGAGUGCAGUAGAGGAAGGUAGAAUUCCCGGUGUAGCGGUGAAAUGCGUAGAGAUCGGGAGGAAUACCAGUGGCGAAGGCGGCCUUCUGGACUGACACUGACACUGAGGUGCGAAAGCGUGGGUAGCAAACAGGAUUAGAUACCCUGGUAGUC
Molecule: ribosomal RNA, 465 nt
Filed under: Vreelandella stevensii
Lineage: Bacteria; Pseudomonadati; Pseudomonadota; Gammaproteobacteria; Oceanospirillales; Halomonadaceae
Description: partial 16S ribosomal RNA
Rfam family: Bacterial small subunit ribosomal RNA
Source: RNAcentral